This 1252-nucleotide ribosomal RNA is filed under the name uncultured bacterium. RNAcentral's name for it is "bacterial SSU rRNA". It matches the Rfam family "Bacterial small subunit ribosomal RNA", at positions 33 to 1275 of the family's 1533-position model. The record is from RNAcentral.
GCACAUUCCGCAGCUCACACAUGCAGUCGAGCGGAACGAUGAUAGCUUGCUAUCAGGCGUCGAGCGGCGGACGGGUGAGUAAUACUUAGGAAUCUACCUAGUAGUGGGGGAUAGCUCGGGGAAACUCGAAUUAAUACCGCAUACGACCUACGGGAGAAAGGGGGCAGUUUACUGCUCUCGCUAUUAGAUGAGCCUAAGUCGGAUUAGCUAGAUGGUGGGGUAAAGGCCUACCAUGGCGACGAUCUGUAGCUGGUCUGAGAGGAUGAUCAGCCACACCGGGACUGAGACACGGCCCGGACUCCUACGGGAGGCAGCAGUGGGGAAUAUUGGACAAUGGGGGCAACCCUGAUCCAGCCAUGCCGCGUGUGUGAAGAAGGCCUUUUGGUUGUAAAGCACUUUAAGCAGUGAAGAAGACUCCAUGGUUAAUACCCAUGGACGAUGACAUUAGCUGCAGAAUAAGCACCGGCUAACUCUGUGCCAGCAGCCGCGGUAAUACAGAGGGUGCAAGCGUUAAUCGGAAUUACUGGGCGUAAAGCGAGCGUAGGUGGCUUGAUAAGUCAGAUGUGAAAUCCCCGGGCUUAACCUGGGAACUGCAUCUGAUACUGUUAGGCUAGAAUAGGUGAGAGGAAGGUAGAAUUCCAGGUGUAGCGGUGAAAUGCGUAGAGAUCUGGAGGAAUACCGAUGGCGAAGGCAGCCUUCUGGCAUCAUAUUGACACUGAGGUUCGAAAGCGUGGGUAGCAAACAGGAUUAGAUACCCUGGUAGUCCACGCCGUAAACGAUGUCUACUAGUCGUUGGGUCCCUUGAGGACUUAGUGACGCAGCUAACGCAAUAAGUAGACCGCCUGGGGAGUACGGCCGCAAGGUUAAAACUCAAAUGAAUUGACGGGGGCCCGCACAAGCGGUGGAGCAUGUGGUUUAAUUCGAUGCAACGCGAAGAACCUUACCUGGGUCUUGACAUAUCUAGAAUCCUGCAGAGAUGCGGGAGUGCCUUCGGGAAUUAGAAUACAGGUGCUGCAUGGCUGUCGUCAGCUCGUGUCGUGAGAUGUUGGGUUAAGUCCCGCAACGAGCGCAACCCUUGUCCUUUAGUUACCAGCGGGGUUAAGCCGGGGAACUCUAAUGAUACUGCCAGUGAACAAACUGGAGAAGCGGGGACGACGUCAAGUCAUCAUGGCCCUUACGACCAGGGCCUACUCACGGUGCUAACAUGUAGGUACAGAAGGGCAGCUUACCCAGCGAUGUGAUGCCGAAUCUC